Long non-coding RNA from Sardina pilchardus (European sardine), 445 nucleotides. RefSeq lists it as uncharacterized. NCBI's taxonomy places the organism in Eukaryota, Metazoa, Chordata, Actinopteri, Clupeiformes, Clupeidae. The record is from RefSeq and is a predicted model, not a curated record. The transcript has 6 exons.
GUGCGGUGGCGAAACAGCGGUGUCUGCGGGCUCACUGUCAUUCACAAGUGGCUCCAGUCUGGUUUGGGGGUCUACCCUUUCUUAUCAUGUCCUGCCACCCAAUAAAGCCAUUCACAAGUGGCUCCAGCCUGGUUUGGGGGUCUAGCCUUUCUCAUCCUGUCCUGCCACCCAAUAAAGCCAUUCACAAGUGGCUCCAGCCUGGUUUGGGGGUCUAGCCUUUCUCAUCCUGUCCUGCCACCCAAUAAAAAGAGAAAUUACUUAAGGCCUCUGCAACUGCUUUUACCAGAUGCUGUGAGAGAGCUAUGCCCUGUGCCGCGGCUUCUGAUUCAGUACAGCAGUUCAACCAGCCCAGCAAACAGGAAAAGCUCAAGGAGGUGUCUUAACUAUCAGCAUUCCUACCCAAACAGAUCAACCUACUGUUAUGUCCAACUAAGAAAAACAAUGG